This 231-nucleotide unclassified non-coding RNA is filed under the name Glomus sp. RNAcentral describes it as "partial contains 5.8S ribosomal RNA and internal transcribed spacer 2". The stretch from base 1 to 65 matches the Rfam family "5.8S ribosomal RNA", at positions 84 to 154 of the family's 154-position model. The record is from RNAcentral. Lineage: Eukaryota; Fungi; Glomeromycota; Glomeromycetes; Glomerales; Glomeraceae.
GUGAAUCAUCAAAUUUUUGAACGCAAAUUGCACUCUCUUCGGAGAGUAUGCCUGUUUGAGGGUCAGCCUAAAAAAAUCGACAUAGUCGCUGUUUCGCGGUUACAUUCGGCGGGAAUUGGGUCAUCUUAAACCUUUGGGGUUUAAGCGGCUUAAAAUCUUCUUUACGAUUCCACCGACGUUUCUAAGAUUUACUUCCUAUACGGUUAAGGUAUCGAUCUUUUUUAGACGUUG